CACGUAGGGCGCAAGCGUUGUCCGGAAUUAUUGGGCGUAAAGGGCGCGUAGGCGGCUUGGCAAGUGGAAGGUGAAAUCCCUCGGCUUAACCGGGGAACUGCCCUCCAAACUGCUUUGCUUGAGGCCGGGAGAGGCGAGUGGAAUUCCCAGUGUAGCGGUGAAAUGCGUAGAUAUUGGGAGGAACACCAAUAGCGAAGGCAGCUCGCUGGGACGGUACUGACGCUAAGGCGCGAAAGCGUGGGGAGCGAACAGG
Molecule: ribosomal RNA, 253 nt
Filed under: uncultured bacterium
Lineage: Bacteria
Description: partial 16S ribosomal RNA
Rfam family: Bacterial small subunit ribosomal RNA
Source: RNAcentral